RNAcentral lists this ribosomal RNA (436 nucleotides) under uncultured bacterium. RNAcentral's name for it is "bacterial SSU rRNA". It matches the Rfam family "Bacterial small subunit ribosomal RNA", at positions 355 to 787 of the family's 1533-position model. The record is from RNAcentral.
UAGGGAAUAUUGGUCAAUGGGCGGGAGCCUGAACCAGCCAUGCCGCGUGCGGGAAGAAGGCCCUACGGGUCGUAAACCGCUUUUAUACGGGAACAACCGCAGCUACGUGUAGCUGUCUGAGUGUACCGUAGGAAUAAGGAUCGGCUAACUCCGUGCCAGCAGCCGCGGUAAUACGAAGGGUGCAAGCGUUAAUCGGAAUUACUGGGCGUAAAGCGCGCGUAGGUGGUUAGGUAAGUUGGAUGUGAAAGCCCUGGGCUCAACCUGGGAACUGCAUCCAAAACUGCUUGGCUAGAGUACGGUAGAGGGUAGUGGAAUUUCCUGUGUAGCGGUGAAAUGCGUAGAUAUAGGAAGGAACACCAGUGGCGAAGGCGACUACCUGGACUGAUACUGACACUGAGGUGCGAAAGCGUGGGGGAGCAAACAGGAUUAGAUACCC